CCUACGGGCGGCAGCAGUGAGGAAUAUUGGUCAAUGGGCGGAAGCCUGAACCAGCCAAGUAGCGUGCGGGAUGAAGGCCCUACGGGUCGUAAACCGCUUUUGUACGGGGAUAACACCCUCCACUUGUGGAGGUCUGCAGGUACCGUGCGAAUAAGGGCCGGCUAAUUCCGUGCCAGCAGCCGCGGAAAUACGGAAGGCCCGAGCGUUAUCCGGAUUCAUUGGGCUUAAAGGGAGCGUAGGCGGGCGUUCAAGUCAGCUGGAAAAUCGCGCGGCUCAACCGCGCCCCGAAGUUGAAACUGGACGCCUUGAGUUCACAACAGGCAGGCGGAAUUCGUGGUGUAGCGGUGAAAUGCAUAGAUAUCACGAGGAACCCCGAUGGCGAAGGCAGCCUGCCGGGGUGCGACUGACGCUGAGGCUCGAAGGUGCGGGUAUCAAACAGGAUUAGAUACCCCAGUAGUC
RNAcentral lists this ribosomal RNA (459 nucleotides) under uncultured bacterium. RNAcentral describes it as "partial 16S ribosomal RNA". It matches the Rfam family "Bacterial small subunit ribosomal RNA", at positions 338 to 795 of the family's 1533-position model. The record is from RNAcentral.